GAUGAACGCUGGCGGCGUGCCUAAUACAUGCAAGUCGAGCGAACGGACGAGAAGCUUGCUUCUCUGAUGUUAGCGGCGGACGGGUGAGUAACACGUGGAUAACCUACCUAUAAGACUGGGAUAACUUCGGGAAACCGGAGCUAAUACCGGAUAAUAUUUUGAACCGCAUGGUUCAAAAGUGAAAGACGGUCUUGCUGUCACUUAUAGAUGGAUCCGCGCUGCAUUAGCUAGUUGGUAAGGUAACGGCUUACCAAGGCAACGAUGCAUAGCCGACCUGAGAGGGUGAUCGGCCACACUGGAACUGAGACACGGUCCAGACUCCUACGGGAGGCAGCAGUAGGGAAUCUUCCGCAAUGGGCGAAAGCCUGACGGAGCAACGCCGCGUGAGUGAUGAAGGUCUUCGGAUCGUAAAACUCUGUUAUUAGGGAAGAACAUAUGUGUAAGUAACUGUGCACAUCUUGACGGUACCUAAUCAGAAAGCCACGGCUAACUACGUGCCAGCAGCCGCGGUAAUACGUAGGUGGCAAGCGUUAUCCGGAAUUAUUGGGCGUAAAGCGCGCGUAGCGGUUUUUAAGUCUGAUGUGAAAGCCCACGGCUCACCCGUGGAGGGUCAUUGGAAACUGGAAAACUUGAGUGCAGAAGAGGAAAGUGGAAUUCCAUGUGUAGCGGUGAAAUGCGCAGAGAUAUGGAGGAACACCAGUGGCGAAGGCGACUUUCUGGUCUGUAACUGACGCUGAUGUGCGAAAGCGUGGGGAUCAAACAGGAUUAGAUACCCUGGUAGUCCACGCCGUAAACGAUGAGUGCUAAGUGUUAGGGGGUUUCCGCCCCUUAGUGCUGCAGCUAACGCAUUAAGCACUCCGCCUGGGGAGUACGACCGCAAGGUUGAAACUCAAAGGAAUUGACGGGGACCCGCACAAGCGGUGGAGCAUGUGGUUUAAUUCGAAGCAACGCGAAGAACCUUACCAAAUCUUGACAUCCUUUGACAACUCUAGAGAUAGAGCUUUCCCCUUCGGGGGACAAAGUGACAGGUGGUGCAUGGUUGUCGUCAGCUCGUGUCGUGAGAUGUUGGGUUAAGUCCCGCAACGAGCGCAACCCUUAAGCUUAGUUGCCAUCAUUAAGUUGGGCACUCUAAGUUGACUGCCGGUGACAAACCGGAGGAAGGUGGGGAUGACGUCAAAUCAUCAUGCCCCUUAUGAUUUGGGCUACACACGUGCUACAAUGGACAAUACAAAGGGCAGCGAAACCGCGAGGUCAAGCAAAUCCCAUAAAGUUGUUCUCAGUUCGGAUUGUAGUCUGCAACUCGACUACAUGAAGCUGGAAUCGCUAGUAAUCGUAGAUCAGCAUGCUACGGUGAAUACGUUCCCGGGUCU
This 1370-nucleotide ribosomal RNA is filed under the name uncultured bacterium. RNAcentral describes it as "bacterial SSU rRNA". It matches the Rfam family "Bacterial small subunit ribosomal RNA", at positions 28 to 1381 of the family's 1533-position model. The record is from RNAcentral.